UCCCUGGUGGCUCAGAUGGUAAAGAAUCUGUCUGCGAUGCAGGAAAUCCAGGUUUGAUCCCUGGAUUGGGAA
Molecule: non-coding RNA, 72 nt
Organism: Bos taurus (domestic cattle)
Lineage: Eukaryota; Metazoa; Chordata; Mammalia; Artiodactyla; Bovidae
Source: Rfam